This 2403-nucleotide long non-coding RNA is filed under the name Brassica napus (rape). Its description in RNAcentral is "long non-coding RNA (BNAP_LNC001127)". Lineage: Eukaryota; Viridiplantae; Streptophyta; Magnoliopsida; Brassicales; Brassicaceae. The record is from RNAcentral.
UAUGCACCAGUUACUAAUUCCUCCCUUGUUUUUGUUCUUCCUUCAGAACGUGGAGCCUCCUUACGAAGUGGUCUUUCAAGAAAAUGCUCAGUUCAGGAGUGCACCACCUCACAUCAGAGUUGAAAAGAUGUUCGAGCAGAUACAGUCUAAGCUCCCGGGGAAGCCUAAGUUCCUUCUUUGCAUCCUCGCAGAAAGGAAGAACUCUAACGUUUAUGGUAAAAGCAUUCUACCAUUAAAUAAGAGAGACUAGUGGCAUCGUAUCUUGAUUCUCACAUAAUCGUCUGUGUUUUUUUCAGGUCCUUGGAAGAAGAAGAACCUUGCUGAGCUUGGAAUCGUGACUCAGUGCAUUGCUCCCACCGCCAGAAUCAAUGAUCAGUACCUCACCAACGUUCUCCUGAAGAUCAACGCCAAGGUGAUCUCCUAAAGCUUGAAAUUUCAAUCAGUUAUAAUUUAAGAUAAAGAUUAUAAAGACCUUAAAGCUUGAACUGACUUCACUGUUUCCUAUAUGUAGCUCGGUGGUCUAAACUCACUGCUAACUAUGGAGCGCUCACAGGCAAUGCCGUCAGUUACGCAAGUUCCUACAAUCAUUGUCGGCAUGGAUGUUUCCCAUGGUUCCCCUGGCCAGUCUGAUGUGCCAUCUGUUGCUGCGGUAAAAUUACAUUUUGUUUUCUGUUGAUUGUGAGUUCACUCUUCUAUCUCUCUAGUAACUUGAUGUUUGUUUGUUUGGAAACAAUAGGUGGUGAGCUCCAGGCAAUGGCCACUCAUCUCAAAGUACAGGGCAUGUGUGCGCACACAGUCUCGUAAAGUGGAAAUGAUCGACAACCUUUUCAAGCUUGUCCCUGGCAAAGAAGAGAAGAUGGUUGACGAGGGAAUUUUCAGGUCAGUUUCUUGGAUUGUUGUGCUGUCUUAGUAGUAGCUCGUGACAUGGCAUCAAUGUAACUACGGAUUUUGUGCUCUUUUCAGGGAGCUCUUGGUCGACUUUUACUCCAGCUCCCAGAAGAGGAAACCAGACCACAUCAUCAUUUUCAGGGAUGGUGUGAGUGAGUCCCAGUUCAACCAGGUUCUGAACAUCGAGUUGGAUCAGAUGAUGCAGGUAUGGAUGAUGAUUCUUGAGCCUCAUUGACCUUAGUAUACAGUUGAAUAUUUAUGGACCUGUUUUUCUUGUGGGUUAUGCUAAUAGGCAUGCAAGUUUCUCGAUGAAAAAUGGAACCCCAAGUUUACAGUGAUCAUUGCUCAGAAGAACCACCACACCAAGUUCUUCCAGGAUAAAGGACCAGACAAUGUUCCUCCAGGUAUAAUCCAUUUGACCUGAGCAUGAUUGAUCUUAUGCAUGAUUGAUCUUAUCUUGUAAAUGAGUUCUGAAACCUGUUUCUAACUGACCUGCAGGGACUAUCAUUGACAGCAAGAUCUGUCACCCUCGGAACAACGACUUCUACCUCUGCGCUCAUGCGGGGAUGAUUGUAAGUAACAUGCCUCAUCGGUUGGUUUUUCCUUUGUAUUGAUGAAUUGAACGAAAGCUUGAUACUGGUCUGUUGAUUUCGAAUGUAUUAGGGAACUACAAGGCCAACACACUACCAUGUGCUGUACGAUGAGAUCAACUUUACCACAGAUGACCUCCAGGAACUUGUGCAUUCGCUGUCAUAUGUGUAAGCAUUAUAUCACUUUUCUAGCUCUCUAUCUGAAACAUUUGUUUGUGGUGUGUUGCCGAUGUAUACUAAACUUGUGUGGUUUGAUACUUGUAGCUACCAGAGGAGCACCACUGCCAUCUCAGUCGGUAAGCUCUCAUAUCUUUUUCUCGAUUGCUGCUGAUAGUUUAGAUCUCUGGCAUGUAAUGUCUUUGGCCUCCAUUGAUUGCUGCUGAUAGUUAAGAUCUUUGGCAUGUAAUUGCUGUGUCUCUGCUCAUCUAUAGUUGUUUUUUGAACUUUAUGAUGUCUAGUAUUAGUGAGAAUGAACCACAACUAAUUUUACUGCGUUCUUACCUGCAAUAAUCUGAAUGCAUGAUGGUUGCGCAAGUAUCUCAAGUUUCCUUGUGUCUUUUCUGCAGUUGCACCGAUUUGUUAUGCUCACUUGGCGGCUGCACAGAUGGGAACUGUGAUGAAGUUUGAGGACUUGUCUUUGUCUGAGACAUCAUCGAGCCAUGGCGGGAUCACGACUCCUGGGGCAGUGUUGAUUACUAUAUUUAACUCAGUCAUAUGCACCAGUUACUAAUUCCUCCCUUGUUUUUGUUCUUCCUUCAGAACGUGGAGCCUCCUUACGAAGUGGUCUUUCAAGAAAAUGCUCAGUUCAGGAGUGCACCACCUCACAUCAGAGUUGAAAAGAUGUUCGAGCAGAUACAGUCUAAGCUCCCGGGGAAGCCUAAGUUCCUUCUUUGCAUCCUCGCAGAAAGGAAGAACUCUAACGUUU